AUUGAACGCUGGCGGCAGGCCUAACACAUGCAAGUCGAGCGGAUGAAGGGAGCUUGCUCCUGGAUUCAGCGGCGGACGGGUGAGUAAUGCCUAGGAAUCUGCCUGGUAGUGGGGGAUAACGUCCGGAAACGGGCGCUAAUACCGCAUACGUCCUGAGGGAGAAAGUGGGGGAUCUUCGGACCUCACGCUAUCAGGUGAGCCUAGGUCGGAUUAGCUAGUUGGUGGGGUAAAGGCCUACCAAGACGACGAUCCGUAACUGGUCUGAGAGGAUGAUCAGUCACACUGGAACUGAGACACGGUCCAGACUCCUACGGGAGGCAGCAGUGGGGAAUAUUGGACAAUGGGCGAAAGCCUGAUCCAGCCAUGCCGCGUGUGUGAAGAAGGUCUUCGGAUUGUAAAGCACUUUAAGUUGGGAGGAAGGGCAGUAAGUUAAUACCUUGCUGUUUUGACGUUACCAACAGAAUAAGCACCGGCUAACUUCGUG
Molecule: ribosomal RNA, 484 nt
Filed under: uncultured bacterium
Lineage: Bacteria
Description: partial 16S ribosomal RNA
Rfam family: Bacterial small subunit ribosomal RNA
Source: RNAcentral